CGGCCGGGCAGAGACGCUCCUCACUUUCCAGACUCAUUUUUUGUAUUUUUAGUAGAGACAGGGUUUCUCCAUGUUGGUCAGGCUGAUCUCAAACUCCCGACCUCAGGUGAUCUGCCUGCCUUGGCCUCCCAAAGUGCUGGGAUUACAGGUGUGAGCCACUGUGCCCAGCCGAGAGAUGGAAAACUUCUUAAUCUUUUCACAGAGAAUUUACAUUUAAUAAAAGUAUAGCCUUUGUUUGGUUUAAGCUGCAGGAAUGAAACUCUGAUGAUGAAAUCAUUGGCUUGAGUCAGUAGGAAGAAGAGGGGUUUGGUGUAGAGGGGCAGUCAGGGCCAUCCCUGAAAUCACCUCUUUUUAGGAGCUGUCCACCUCAGAGGCCAGCUCUGACCUUCCAUGUGAUGUGAGGGAUACUGCUUCACUCUCUGGACAUCAUUUUCUCCACUCAGAAAUGGAAGCAGGAGUUCUUGAUUUUCCAGAACUGAGGACAUUCCCUCUUAACUCCUAAGUGAUUAUCACCCUGCCUUCCUCUGCAAACUCAGCUUUCCUAGAGAAAACAAGGGAGAGGGGAUGCAGGGAAAUGGGCAGUAGGCACCCUUAACAAUCCUGUGAGGAGUGCUUGCUGUGACAGUGCAUAUACUAAAAUUGGAAUGAUAUAGAGAUUAGCAUAACUCCUGCAUAAGGAUGAUAUGCAAAUUUAUGAAGCUUCUUAAGUGUAAAUUUUGAAAGUCAUGGGAAACAGACAAAGGUUCUUCCCAAACCUGGGACCAUGCAACUCCCUGGAGACAUUUAAAAGAGCACUGGACAGCCAGAACCAACAGGCAGAGUGACCAGCUCAUCUUGUUUUCCCCUGGACAAAGUCCUGCGUUCCAGGAAAACUGGGAUGGCUGUCACCCCAUCAGGAGGCCUAGUCUUCAGCUCUGCAUCUGCCAUUAACUCCCUUCUCCUCAUAGCCUGAGUUUCCUCCUCAAUUGUAAAGUAGUAUACCUGGACAAGAUGAUAUCUAAGGGUACUUCCAGCCCUGCUGGAACAAACUGGAAAGUUGCCUUGGCUGCCCUAAUAUCCAGAAACCCUCAAGGAACUUGCCAGGAGCGUGGGCAGAACCAAUCUCAUCACCAGGGGGCGCACCUGAAGGUUCAGGGACCCGCAUGUUUUCCUAUACAGAUCCUCCGCUCUUACUGAUUCCUGUGAGUGACGUAGUUAAUACCAGCAGUGUAUUAUAAUCAUUAGUUGUCACUACAAAAUAGACUGAAGAUGAUUAUUCCUAGUUGUCAGAUUGUUUCAAGGAGUAUGUAAACCCAAAAUAACAAAUGUAGAAAAAAACAAUUUCACAAUGCUCCCAGCUGGCAUUAUAUCCAUUUAAUUAUACAGUCAUAUUGGAAUGAUACGUGGUUAUCGUUUCUAUUUAGAAUUUUACUUGUGCCAGGCGCGGUGGCUCACACCUGUAAUCCCAGCACUUUGGGAGGGCGAGGCGGGCGGAUCACCUGAGGUCAGGAGUUGGAGAGCAGCCUGACCAACAUGGCGAAACCCCGUCUCUACUAAAAAAUACAAAAAUUAGCCGGGCGUGGUGGCAAGCACCUGUGGUCCCAGCUACCCGGGAGGCUGAGGCAAGAGAAUCUCUUGAACCCGGGAGAAGGAGGUUGCAGUGAGCCGACAUCGCGCCACUGACUCUAGCCUGGGGGACGAAGCGAGACUCAGUCUCAAAAAAAAAAAAAAAAAAAAAGAAUUUUACUUGGAUUCCAGAGGAAGGAUUUCCAUCUCUCGAUUUCUAUUAACAUCAAAUAUAAAAUGUUUCUCUCUGUUGCAAAUCUAAGUACAUACUGUUCCAAAAGUGUGCUUUUUUGCCAGCUUUAUAAGGUCUCCAUCUUUUGGCAAGAUUAUCAAAACCAAAAAAUUUGGAAAGUUGUUCCAUUGCACUUUCCCAGAGUGAAUCUUGAAGCCAGACUGCCUAGCUUCACGUCUCAGCUCUGUUUCAUUAGUAUGAUUUAACGUUUCUGUGUGUCUGUGUCUUUCUCUGUAAAAUGCAGAUUGUCAGGCGAGGUUCCAGAGCUCUGGCACCGGAAGUGGUCGACUCGCGGGUUGGUUAAGAAUUUACCUAUAACAGUAUAGGUUUGAAAAGGGAAAGUUCAUUAGAAAGGAAGAACGUCGGCCGGGCGCGGUGGCUCACGCCUGUAAUCCCAGCACUUUGGGAGGCCGAGACUGGCGGAUCACGAGGUCAGGAGAUUGAGACCAUCCUGGCUAACACCGUGAAACCCCGUCUCUACUAAAAAUACAAAAAAAAAAUUAGCCGGGUUAGGUGGCGGGCGCCUGUAGUCACAGCUACGCGGGAGGCCGAGGCAGGAGAAUGGCGUGAACCCCGGGGGGCAGAGCCUGCAGUGAGCCGAGAUCGCGCCACUGCACUCCAGCCUGGGUGAAAGAGCAAGACUCCGUCUCAAAAAAAAAAAAAAAAAAAAAAAAUAGAAAGGAAGAACGCCGCAAAAGGGUGUAGCGCGGGCCUCAGCGAGAGGACUGAGCAUGCGUGGUGGAUUUUCCUUAGGGGCAUUUAUGGACCUUAAGGUGGGAGCUUAGGGUUGUAAAAUUAGUCUCAGCAUGGCAUUCCGGAAAUGUAUAGAAAUUUUAAUUACUUAUAAAAGUUGAAAGAGGCCUAGAAUCAGAUAUUGACUUUAGAUACUAGGGAAGUUUGAUUACCUCUAAAUUCCCCAGAUAAGGAGUUUUGCCGCCAGAUAGCCUGUUUGAUGGUCACCAGGUGGUCUUUGCUCCCUUCUACACUUGAUCUUAGCCAAAAGGCCGAGAAGCGAUGUCUUUGCUCCCUUCUAAAUUGCUCAUAUAAGAAUUUUUUGGGCCAGGCGUGGUGGCUCAUGACUGUAAUCCUAGCACUUUGGGAGGCCGAGGCGGGCAGAUCACUUGAGGUCAGGAGUUUGAAACCAGCCUGGUCAACA
This 2933-nucleotide long non-coding RNA is filed under the name Homo sapiens (human). Lineage: Eukaryota; Metazoa; Chordata; Mammalia; Primates; Hominidae. The record is from RNAcentral.